AGUACCCCGAGGAAAAGAAAUCAACCGAGAUUCCCCCAGUAGCGGCGAGCGAACGGGGAGCAGCCCAGAGCCUGAAUCAGUAUGUGUGUUAGUGGAAGCGUCUGGAAAGGCGCGCGAUACAGGGUGACAGCCCCGUACACAAAAAUGCACAUGCUGUGAGCUCGAUGAGUAGGGCGGGACACGUGGUAUCCUGUCUGAAUAUGGGGGGACCAUCCUCCAAGGCUAAAUACUCCUGACUGACCGAUAGUGAACCAGUACCGUGAGGGAAAGGCGAAAAGAACCCCGGCGAGGGGAGUGAAAAAGAACCUGAAACCGUGUACGUACAAGCAGUGGGAGCACGCUUAGGCGUGUGACUGCGUACCUUUUGUAUAAUGGGUCAGCGACUUAUAUUCUGUAGCAAGGUUAACCGAAUAGGGGAGCCGAAGGGAAACCGAGUCUUAACUGGGCGUUAAGUUGCAGGGUAUAGACCCGAAACCCGGUGAUCUAGCCAUGGGCAGGUUGAAGGUUGGGUAACACUAACUGGAGGACCGAACCGACUAAUGUUGAAAAAUUAGCGGAUGACUUGUGGCUGGGGGUGAAAGGCCAAUCAAACCGGGAGAUAGCUGGUUCUCCCCGAAAGCUAUUUAGGUAGCGCCUCGUGAAUUCAUCUCCGGGGGUAGAGCACUGUUUCGGCAAGGGGGUCAUCCCGACUUACCAACCCGAUGCAAACUGCGAAUACCGGAGAAUGUUAUCACGGGAGACACACGGCGGGUGCUAACGUCCGUCGUGAAGAGGGAAACAACCCAGACCGCCAGCUAAGGUCCCAAAGUCAUGGUUAAGUGGGAAACGAUGUGGGAAGGCCCAGACAGCCAGGAUGUUGGCUUAGAAGCAGCCAUCAUUUAAAGAAAGCGUAAUAGCUCACUGGUCGAGUCGGCCUGCGCGGAAGAUGUAACGGGGCUAAACCAUGCACCGAAGCUGCGGCAGCGACGCUGAUGCGUUGUUGGGUAGGGGAGCGUUCUGUAAGCCUGCGAAGGUGUGCUGUGAGGCAUGCUGGAGGUAUCAGAAGUGCGAAUGCUGACAUAAGUAACGAUAAAGCGGGUGAAAAGCCCGCUCGCCGGAAGACCAAGGGUUCCUGUCCAACGUUAAUCGGGGCAGGGUGAGUCGACCCCUAAGGCGAGGCCGAAAGGCGUAGUCGAUGGGAAACAGGUUAAUAUUCCUGUACUUGGUGUUACUGCGAAGGGGGGACGGAGAAGGCUAUGUUGGCCGGGCGACGGUUGUCCCGGUUUAAGCGUGUAGGCUGGUUUUCCAGGCAAAUCCGGAAAAUCAAGGCUGAGGCGUGAUGACGAGGCACUGCGGUGCUGAAGCAACAAAUGCCCUGCUUCCAGGAAAAGCCUCUAAGCAUCAGGUAACAUCAAAUCGUACCCCAAACCGACACAGGUGGUCAGGUAGAGAAUACCAAGGCGCUUGAGAGAACUCGGGUGAAGGAACUAGGCAAAAUGGUGCCGUAACUUCGGGAGAAGGCACGCUGAUAUGUAGGUGAAGUCCCUCGCGGAUGGAGCUGAAAUCAGUCGAAGAUACCAGCUGGCUGCAACUGUUUAUUAAAAACACAGCACUGUGCAAACACGAAAGUGGACGUAUACGGUGUGACGCCUGCCCGGUGCCGGAAGGUUAAUUGAUGGGGU
RNAcentral lists this ribosomal RNA (1661 nucleotides) under Escherichia coli. RNAcentral's name for it is "partial 23S ribosomal RNA". It matches the Rfam family "Bacterial large subunit ribosomal RNA", at positions 205 to 1890 of the family's 2925-position model. The record is from RNAcentral. Lineage: Bacteria; Pseudomonadati; Pseudomonadota; Gammaproteobacteria; Enterobacterales; Enterobacteriaceae.